Molecule: ribosomal RNA, 253 nt
Filed under: uncultured bacterium
Lineage: Bacteria
Description: partial 16S ribosomal RNA
Rfam family: Bacterial small subunit ribosomal RNA
Source: RNAcentral
UACGUAGGUGGCAAGCGUUGUCCGGAUUUAUUGGGCGUAAAGGGAACGCAGGCGGUGACUUAAGUCUGAUGUGAAAGCCCACGGCUCAACCGUGGAAGGUCAUUGGAAACUGGGUCACUUGAGUGCAGAAGAGGAAAGUGGAAUUCCAUGUGUAGCGGUGAAAUGCGUAGAUAUAUGGAGGAACACCAGUGGCGAAGGCGACUUUCUGGUCUGUAACUGAUGCUGAGGCUCGAAAGCGUGGGGAGCAAACAGG